CCUACGGGAUGCAGCAGUGAGGAAUAUUGGUCAAUGGGCGUAAGCCUGAACCAGCCAAGUCGCGUGAGGGAUGAAGGUUCUAUGGAUCGUAAACCUCUUUUAUAAGGGAAUAAAGUGCGGGACGUGUCCCGUUUUGUAUGUACCUUAUGAAUAAGGAUCGGCUAACCCCGUGCCAGCAGCCGGGGUAAUACGGAGGAGCCGAGCGUUACCCGGAUUUGUUGGGUUUAAAGGGUGCGUAGGGGGCCUUUUAAGUCCGCGGGGAAAGUCUGUGGCUCAACCACAGAAUUGCCGUUGAAACUGGGAGGCUAGAGUAUGUGUGAGGCAGGCGGAAUGCGUGGUGUAGCGGUGAAAUGCAUAGAUAUCACGCAGAACCCCGAUUGCGAAGGCAGCAUGCCAGGCCAUGACUGACGCUGAUGCACGAAAGCGUGGGGAUCAAACAGGAUUAGAUACCCUUGUAGUC
This 460-nucleotide ribosomal RNA is filed under the name uncultured bacterium. RNAcentral's name for it is "partial 16S ribosomal RNA". It matches the Rfam family "Bacterial small subunit ribosomal RNA", at positions 338 to 795 of the family's 1533-position model. The record is from RNAcentral.